CAAAACAACAACAGCCUUCUAGUGUCUGCCUCUUAUAUUGCAAAUUGUAUAGAAAGAACACAUCAGUAGGAAAAGUAUUUUUAAAUAUCUGUCUAAGACUGAAAAGAUAAAUUUUAUUAUUUGAAUCUUUAACAUAUUCUAUUCAUAUUAUCGAAAUAAAUCAAGUCAGUAGGUUGAAAUAUUUAAAAAUAUCUAGGUGGGUUCACAAAAUGUGAUCAAAGUUGUGAUAAUUGUUACUAAUGAGCCUGUAUCCCUUCAAAUGUUCAACAUAGUUAAUUCUCACCUUAAUGAUUUUUUAAUGCAUUUCUUGUUUAUUCCUUCAAAUUCUGAUAGCUCUCUUUAUUUUAAUAUCAUGACAAAAUAGAUCUUAUAUAUUCUGACCAUUGAAUCUCAUUUUUUUCUUAUUCCUUAAUAUUAUUUUAACUAACACAAAUAAAUUGUUUAUAAUUAUAAUAUUUUUAAAAUAUAAAAUUUAUGAAGAAUUAGAAUUGUCAAGAGUUUAUUUUGAUAUAAAAUUUUACUAUUUUCUGUAUUAAACAACAUUCCUCUAAUAAUCUUAUUGGUAUUUUAAAAACAUUCCAUGACUUUAAUUAUUAAAAUUAUCAUCCAAUUAAAUGUUUAUUGUAUUGUUUAUAGGUAUUCUAUAGUAUUUGUGAAAUUAAUUUGUGGCUUGAAUCAGUGUAUACUUUAUGGCCAUUAUGAUAAUGUCUGAAUGUGUGCCAUCAUUAAAGCCAUAUUUACUUAAUAAUAUUUUAUCUAAGUAUAAAUGUAAUAUAUAUUCAACUUCUUUUGCUUUUUAAUGUAGUAUUAAGUUUUUGUAAUUUCUUAUGUGCAUACAUUUUAUAAUUAUAUUAAAAAAAUUAAAUUUCUUUAACAAUAUAAUGCAAGUGUCUAUGUGAUUUAAUAUCUUUAAUGAUACGUUGUUUAUGUAUUAAAAUCUGUAGUUUAUUAUUGGAUAACCUUUAGCCUUGUUAUUAUCAUAAUAGUUUUGUAAGCGAUUACUCGCUCUGUACAAUCAUUUGAGAAUGAAUGACAAUAUGAGUUUUUUUUUGUAACUUGCCAAUUUUAAGUAAUCACUAAAUACUGCAUAUUAAUGAUUAUUUUGGUAAAUUUGUUAAACAAUAUCAUUAACUCAUAAUCGUGAUAAAUUUAAAAGUUAUGAAACGAAAUUAUAUUUAUAAAAUUAUGUUUAAUUAGAGAUUAUCGGUUAAUACGAUGGCAUUUUACGUUAAUUUUAAUAGCCAUCCUAAAAUUUCGAUUUAUUAGACGUUUUUUCUUAAAAUAAGUCAGAAUUUUGUUUCUACUUUUUUUCUAUACAGCUUAUAUAAGAAAUUAUCUAAUGCUUAAUAUAAUUAAGGUCUCGCCUUAUGUCUAAUGUUUAAAUAAGAGCUGUUCUAAAUGUUUGUGAAUUCUUAUUCUGGAUGCUUCAUCUCUUUUAUUUAAUAAAAUAUUGAGCACAAUGGUUUUGCAUAGAGAAUGUUUAUGGAAAGCAAUGUUUCACCCAGAAUCUAUAUCAUCUGCUCUUAUUUUUUUGACUGUGCCAAAACCAUAUCAUGACUGUAUUCCUUAUGUUUUUUUGGCAAAUUACGCAUUAGCGAGCGGUUUGGUUUGUCUAUAUUAUUUAUUUGUAGAAGUAUCACGCUUUGGCUCACGGAUGUCACACUUAUCUGUCGAAAAUUAUAUGCAAUAUUUAAGUCUUAUGUUUUCAACUAUAUUCCGUAUAGAUCCUAAUAAAAUAUCUCCUAGACGCCAAGCCAACCAUCUCACAAUGCGUAAACAGUUUAUAAACAUCCUUAUAUACGAGUUCCUUUUCAAAUGUAUCGUUAUUUGUACGUUGUUUUGAACGUACCAAAGAUAUUUUUCGAAAAUUGUUGUGUUGAAAAUUAACACAUUUUUAUUUAGCACAGUAGAUUGUAGAUUUUGGAUGUGAUUUUAAUUUUCAAAAGUUACAUUUUCUUAAUUUUGGUUGUGAUUUUUUUUCCACAUUGCGUCUGUCCGUUAGUCGAGGUGUGAAGUGAAAUUAUGGGUUAAAAUCUGUAGUGAUCUUGUGAUUUAGAUUUUAUACUUCUUGUUCUGAACAAUCAAAAUUUAUUAGUAGAUAAUAGAUGUUAGCUCUAUUUUCAAUGUCAAUGUAAAUAAAAUGCCAACUUGUUGAA
Molecule: long non-coding RNA, 2156 nt
Organism: Pieris napi
Lineage: Eukaryota; Metazoa; Arthropoda; Insecta; Lepidoptera; Pieridae
Exons: 2
Source: RefSeq, a predicted model, not a curated record